CCUACGGGAGGCAGCAGUGGGGAAUAUUGGACAAUGGGCGAAAGCCUGAUCCAGCAAUGCCGCGUGAGUGAUGAAGGCCUUAGGGUUGUAAAGCUCUUUUACCAGGGAUGAUAAUGACAGUACCUGGAGAAUAAGCUCCGGCUAACUCCGUGCCAGCAGCCGCGGUAAUACGGAGGGAGCUAGCGUUGUUCGGAAUUACUGGGCGUAAAGCGUGCGUAGGCGGUGACUCAAGUCAGAGGUGAAAGCCUGGAGCUCAACUCCAGAACUGCCUUUGAAACUAGGUCGCUAGAAUCAUGGAGAGGUGAGUGGAAUUCCGAGUGUAGAGGUGAAAUUCGUAGAUAUUCGGAAGAACACCAGUGGCGAAGGCGGCUCACUGGACAUGUAUUGACGCUGAGGCACGAAAGCGUGGGGAGCAAACAGGAUUAGAUACCCUGGUAGUCCACGCCGUAAACGAUGAUAACUAGCUGCCAGGGCUCAUGGAGCUUUGGUGGCGCAGCUAACGCAUUAAGUUAUCCGCCUGGGGAUACGGUCGCAAGNUUAAAACUCAAAUGAAUUGACGGCUGAGACCGAGCGACGACGACGACGAGGGAGGAGG
RNAcentral lists this ribosomal RNA (595 nucleotides) under uncultured bacterium. RNAcentral describes it as "bacterial SSU rRNA". It matches the Rfam family "Bacterial small subunit ribosomal RNA", at positions 338 to 951 of the family's 1533-position model. The record is from RNAcentral.